GACGAACGCUGGCGGCGUGCUUAACACAUGCAAGUCGAACGGAAAGACCCUGCUUUUGUGGGGUGCUCGAGUGGCGAACGGGUGAGUAACACGUGAGUAACUUGCCCUUGACUUUGGGAUAACUUCAGGAAACUGGGGCUAAUACCGGAUAGGAGCUCCUGCUGCAUGGUGGGGGUUGGAAAGUUUCGGCGGUUGGGGAUGGACUCGCGGCUUAUCAGCUUGUUGGUGGGGUAGUGGCUUACCAAGGCUUUGACGGGUAGCCGGCCUGAGAGGGUGACCGGCCACAUUGGGACUGAGAUACGGCCCAGACUCCUACGGGAGGCAGCAGUGGGGAAUAUUGCACAAUGGGCGGAAGCCUGAUGCAGCAACGCCGCGUGCGGGAUGACGGCCUUCGGGUUGUAAACCGCUUUCGCCUGUGACGAAGCGUGAGUGACGGUAAUGGGUAAAGAAGCACCGGCUAACUACGUG
Molecule: ribosomal RNA, 468 nt
Filed under: uncultured bacterium
Lineage: Bacteria
Description: partial 16S ribosomal RNA
Rfam family: Bacterial small subunit ribosomal RNA
Source: RNAcentral